Molecule: ribosomal RNA, 814 nt
Filed under: uncultured bacterium
Lineage: Bacteria
Description: bacterial SSU rRNA
Rfam family: Bacterial small subunit ribosomal RNA
Source: RNAcentral
GAGUUUGAUCAUGGCUCAGAACGAACGCUGGCGGCACGCCUAACACAUGCAAGUCGAGCGCUCACUUCGGUGGGAGCGGCGGACGGGUUAGUAACGCGUGGGAACAUACCCUUUACUACGGAAUAGCCUUUGGAAACGAAGAGUAAUACCGUAUACGCCCUACGGGGGAAAGAUUUAUCGGUAAAGGAUUGGCCCGCGUUAGAUUAGAUAGUUGGUGGGGUAACGGCCUACCAAGUCUACGAUCUAUAGCUGGUUUGAGAGGAUGAUCAGCAACACUGGGACUGAGACACGGCCCAGACUCCUACGGGAGGCAGCAGUGGGGAAUCUUAGACAAUGGGGGAAACCCUGAUCUAGCGAUGCCGCGUGUGUGACGAAGGCCUUAGGGUCGUAAAGCACUUUCGCCAGAGAUGAUAAUGACAGUAUCUGGUAAAGAAACCCCGGCUAACUCCGUGCCAGCAGCCGCGGUAAUACGGAGGGGGUUAGCGUUGUUCGGAAUUACUGGGCGUAAAGCGUACGUAGGCGGAUUAGUAAGUUAGAGGUGAAAUCCCAGGGCUCAACCCUGGAACUGCCUUUAAUACUGCUAGUCUAGAGUUCGAGAGAGGUGAGUGGAAUUCCAAGUGUAGAGGUGAAAUUCGUAGAUAUUUGGAGGAACACCAGUGGCGAAGGCGGCUCACUGGCUCGAUACUGACGCUGAGGUACGAAAGUGUGGGGAGCAAACAGGAUUAGAUACCCUGGUAGUCCACACCGUAAACGAUGAAUGCCAGUCGUCGGGUAGUAUACUAUUCGGUGACACACCUAACGGAGUAAGCAUUCC